GAUGAACGCUGGCGGCGUGCCUAAUACAUGCAAGUCGAGCGAACAGACGAGGAGCUUGCGCCCCUGACGUUAGCGGCGGACGGGUGAGUAAGCAUUGCAAAGCAACCUAUUAUUUCGGGGUGAAUUCCGGAAAGCAGCGGACAUUACGGCCGAAUACGUCAAACGGAUGGAUCAAGGGGUAAAUAGGGCUUUGCGGGAUCGUAUAAGCCCAUGCCGCAUUAGCUAGUUGGUUAGGUAACGGCCUACCAAGGCAACGAUCCGUAGCCGACCUGAGAGGGUGAUCGGCCACACUGGAACUGAGACACGGUCCAGACUCCUACGGGAGGCAGCAGUAGGGAAUCUUCCGCAAUGGGCGAAAGCCUGACGGAGCAACGCCGCGUGAGUGAUGAAGGUCUUCGGAUCGUAAAACCCUGUUAUUAGGGAAGAACAAAUGUGUAAGUAACUAUGCACGUCUUGACGGUACCUAAUCAGAAAGCCCCGGCUAACUACGUG
This 492-nucleotide ribosomal RNA is filed under the name uncultured bacterium. Its description in RNAcentral is "partial 16S ribosomal RNA". It matches the Rfam family "Bacterial small subunit ribosomal RNA", at positions 28 to 507 of the family's 1533-position model. The record is from RNAcentral.